GCAAUGGGGGCAACCCUGACGCAGCAACGCCGCGUGAGUGAUGAAGGUUUUCGGAUCGUAAAGCUCUGUCAAGAGGGAAGAAACCCCGAUCGGCCAAUACCCGAUCGGAUUGACGGUACCUCUAAAGGAAGCACCGGCUAACUCCGUGCCAGCAGCCGCGGUAAUACGGAGGGUGCGAGCGUUGUUCGGAAUUAUUGGGCGUAAAGCGCGUGCAGGCGGUUUGUUAAGUCUGAUGUGAAAGCCCCGGGCUCAACCUGGGAAGUGCAUUGGAAACUGGCUGACUUGAGUACGGGAGAGGGAAGUGGAAUUUCGAGUGUAGGGGUGAAAUCCGUAGAUAUUNGAAGGAACACCAGUGGCGAAGGCGGCUUCCUGGACCGAUACUGACGCUGAGACGCGAAAGCGUGGGGAGCGAACANGAUUAGAUACCCUGGUAGUCCACGCCGUAAACGCUGGGUACUAGGUGUUGCG
Molecule: ribosomal RNA, 468 nt
Filed under: uncultured delta proteobacterium
Lineage: Bacteria; Deltaproteobacteria
Description: bacterial SSU rRNA
Rfam family: Bacterial small subunit ribosomal RNA
Source: RNAcentral